RNAcentral lists this non-coding RNA (30 nucleotides) under Mus musculus (house mouse). Lineage: Eukaryota; Metazoa; Chordata; Mammalia; Rodentia; Muridae. The record is from RNAcentral.
UCCUGUAGUUAGCUUCACUUCUUGAGCCUU